AAAAAAAGGAAAAAGAACGUUGAUGUCCUUAUAAAAAAAUUUUAGGAAAAUAAUAAAUAAUCUUACGCCAAAAAAAAUAGAAAUGGCAUGAUUAAAAACAUUCCCCCAUGCUGUAAUUAACAGUGAUCAGUCGUAAAUUGUGAGAACAACAAAUGAGCAAACAUGUGAAUUUUGUCUUCUGAUUCUGGUCUUUGUUGAUCGUCUAAGAAAGGACUAGGCAAAGGAUAAAAAACAUUGUUUAACAUCCACUUCAUUACAUGAGCUGGAUCGAUUGUCCCAUAGAGAAAGUGAAGUAAGCUUAGAUUCACUGGAGAUGCUAUGGUACAUAUAUAAACAUGUAGCCAUGAAGAGAUUUGUAUGCUUCAUUGAUGAAGUAAGUUUUACUCCAUUGAUCAGGUUGCAUGGGGAGAUCACCCAGUCAAUUUUUAGUUCUGUUAACUUCAUAUAGCACGUUCAGAGCCUUCUCCACCGGAUUCCACUUUAUGUUACUAGUUUGCUGGUAUAGACUGCGUAAUUUGAUUUUUACUGGGGUUAAAUCUUCAUUGUGCAUCCAAAUAUAAACAUUAAUCAUCAGCCCU
RNAcentral lists this long non-coding RNA (578 nucleotides) under Elaeis guineensis (African oil palm). Its description in RNAcentral is "long non-coding RNA (EGUI_LNC018950)". The record is from RNAcentral. Lineage: Eukaryota; Viridiplantae; Streptophyta; Magnoliopsida; Arecales; Arecaceae.